UGAGUAACGCGUAUGCAACCUACCUUUGACUGGAGAAUAGGCGCGAAGAAAUUCGGAUUAAUGCUCCAUGAGACCACAAUACCGCAUGAUAUAGUGGUAAAAGCUCCGGCGGUCAAAGAUGGGCAUGCGUGCCAUUAGUUAGUUGGUGAGGUUACGGCUCACCAAGACAACGAUGGCUAGGGGGUCUGAGAGGAUGAUCCCCCACACUGGUACUGAGACACGGACCAGACUCCUACGGGAGGCAGCAGUGAGGAAUAUUGGUCAAUGGACGCAAGUCUGAACCAGCCAUGCCGCGUGCAGGAUGAAUGCCCUAUGGGUUGUAAACUGCUUUUCUACAAGAAGAAACUUCCUGAUGUAUCAGGAACUGACGGUAUUGUAGGAAUAAGCAUCGGCUAACUCCGUGCCAGCAGCCGCGGUAAUACGGAGGAUGCAAGCGUUAUCCGGAUUCAUUGGGUUUAACGGGUGCGUAGGCGGGGUAGUAAGUCAGUGGUGAAAGCCUGCGGCUUAACCGUAGAAUUGCCAUUAAUACUGCUACUCUUGAAUGCCGUUGAACGUACGCGGAAUGUGUAAUGUAGCGGUGAAAUGCUUAGAUAUUACACAGAACACCGAUUGCGUAGGCAGCUUACUAAACUGUAACUGACGCUGAGGCACGAAAGCGUGGGGAGCGAACAGGAUUAGAUACCCUGGUAGUCCACGCUGUAAACUAUGAUCACUCGCUGUUGGCGAUACAUUGUCAGCGGCUGAGCGAAAGCAUUAAGUGAUCCACCUGGGGAGUACGGCCGCAAGGUUGAAACUCAAAGGAAUUGACGGGGGCCCGCACAAGCGGUGGAACAUGUGGUUUAAUUCGAUGAUACGCGAGGAACCUUACCUGGGCUUAAAUGCAGAACGACGUACCGGGAAACUGGUACUCCCUUCGGGGCGGACUGCAAGGUGCUGCAUGGUUGUCGUCAGCUCGUGCCGUGAGGUGUCGGGUUAAGUCCCAUAACGAGCGCAGCCCUCAUUGUUAGUUGCCAGCGAGUAAUGUCGGGGACUCUAACAAAACUGCCGGUGUAAACCGUGAGGAAGGUGGGGAUGACGUCAAAUCAGUACGGCCCUUAUGUCCAGGGCUACACACGUGUUACAAUGGCCAGUACAAAGGGCAGCUACCACGCGAGUGGAUGCUAAUCUCUAAAGCUGGUCUCAGUUCGGAUUGAAGUCUGCAACUCGACUUCAUGAAGCUGGAAUCACUAGUAAUCGCGCAUCAGCCAUGGCGCGGUGAAUACGUUCCCGGGCCUUGUACACACCGCCCGUCAAGCCAUGGAAGCUGGGGGUACCUGAAGUCCGUAACCGAAAGGA
RNAcentral lists this ribosomal RNA (1335 nucleotides) under uncultured organism. RNAcentral describes it as "16S ribosomal RNA". It matches the Rfam family "Bacterial small subunit ribosomal RNA", at positions 107 to 1451 of the family's 1533-position model. The record is from RNAcentral.